RNAcentral lists this ribosomal RNA (426 nucleotides) under Triticum aestivum (bread wheat). RNAcentral describes it as "partial small subunit ribosomal RNA". The record is from RNAcentral. Lineage: Eukaryota; Viridiplantae; Streptophyta; Magnoliopsida; Poales; Poaceae.
AUGACCACGAAGGAGCCGAUCCCGCUGCUGACACCGCACAGGAUGGGCCGGUUCGAGCUCUCCCACCGGGUGGUGCUCGCGCCUCUCACGCGCUGCUGCUCCUACGGCAACGUGCCGCAGCCGCACGCGGCGUUGCACUACUCGCAGCAGGCGACAAAGGGCGGCCUGCUUAUCGCCGAGGCCACCGGCGUCUCCGCCACCGCCCAGGGGUUUCCUGAUACUCCUGGCAUCUGGACGCAGCAGCAGGUCGACGCUUGGAAACCCAUCGUUGAUGCCGUUCACGGCAAGGGCGCUCUGUUUUUCUGCCAGAUUUGGCACGCCGGAAGGGUCUCCUCAAACGAUUUCCAGCCGGAUGGGCAUGCGCCGAUCUCCAGCACCGACAAGCAGAUACCGCCUGAUGCUGAGUCCGGCAUGGUCUACUCCUAG